UACUAGAGUAGCACUCGCAUAUCAAUAAGCGGAGGAAAAGAAACUAACAAGGAUUCCCCUAGUAACGGCGAGUGAAGCGGGAAGAGCUCAAAUUUGAAAUCUUAAAGGGUUUCCCUUUACGAAUUGUAGUUUAAAGAAGUGUUUUCUGUUGAGGUUUUGGUAAAAGUUCUUUGGAAUAGGACAUCAUAGAGGGUGAGAAUCCCGUAUUUGACCUUUACUUUCAACUUUGUGAUACACUUUCAAAGAGUCGGAUUGUUUGGGAAUGCAGUCCAAAAUGGGUGGUAAAUUUCAUCUAAAGCUAAAUAUUGGCGAGAGACCGAUAGCGAACAAGUACCGUGAGGGAAAGAUGAAAAGAACUUUGAAAAGAGAGUUAAACAGUACGUGAAAUUGUCAAAAGGGAAGCGUUUGACACCAGUGUUGUUUUUCUGAAAAUCAAUUAAAGAACUGUUUAUGCUAAGUUGUUUAGACUUUAUCAGCUAUCUGCUUAGUUUUGAGCUUUUCCUUCAAUGCACUUUUCAGUUAACAAGUCAACAUCAAUUUCUUUUGCUGUAAAAAAGCUUGAGGAAGGUGGCUUGAGAUUCGUCUUAAGUGUUUAUAGCCUCUUGCCUAUGCAGUCGGAGAGAUUGAGGUCUGCAGCGUAGAUCCUUCGGGGCUAAAUGCAUUUGUGCUAAGUUAUAGCAUUUUAUAGACAACUUGUUGACUAUGAUUUGUCUUGUAGCUUACUCGCUUAUGUUAUUUUACCUACGCUUAGGAUGUUGAGUAGCGACAUACGCAC
This 775-nucleotide ribosomal RNA is filed under the name uncultured Neocallimastigales. RNAcentral's name for it is "partial large subunit ribosomal RNA". It matches the Rfam family "Eukaryotic large subunit ribosomal RNA", at positions 20 to 649 of the family's 3401-position model. Lineage: Eukaryota; Fungi; Neocallimastigomycota; Neocallimastigomycetes; Neocallimastigales. The record is from RNAcentral.